This 385-nucleotide long non-coding RNA is filed under the name Homo sapiens (human). RNAcentral's name for it is "HSALNT0291182". The record is from RNAcentral. Lineage: Eukaryota; Metazoa; Chordata; Mammalia; Primates; Hominidae.
CUUUUCCACCCCUUUAACUUAAGUUUAUGUGAGUCCUUAUGUGUUAGGGGAGUCUCUUGAAGGCAGCAGAUAGUUGGCUGGUGGAUUCUUACCCAUUCUGCAAUUCUGUAUCUUUUAAGUGGAGCAUUUAGGACAUUUACAUUCAAUGUUAGUAUUGCGAGUAGUUCUGGAGCAAAAGUUCAUGAUGUGGGUCUCCACACACUGUUCUGUCUGUCCAAGUGGGAGCUGCAAUCUGGUCCUGCCUGCCGUCUGCCAUGAUGUUCUUGAAAACCAACAAGUGCUUCUUAAAUGCUGACGUAUCAUUUUCCCAUGUCUGAGCCAACUCAGCAUGAACACAAUGAGGAUGAAGGCAUUUAUGAUGACCCCACUUCCUCUUAAUAAACAG